CAAUAGCGUAUAUUAACGUUGUUGCAGUUAAAAAGCUCGUAGUUGGAUUUCUGGAGGGAGCGUCGGCCCGUAUUUACGAGUGCGUGACGUCUCUGUCCAUCCUUGCGGGAAGGCACGGCAUUGAUUUGUUGUGUCGGAUCGCAUCAUUUACUGUGAAAAAAUUAGAGUGUUCAAAGCGGGCUUUCGCUUGAAUACAUUAGCAUGGAAUAAUAAGAUAGGACUUUGGUGCUAUUUUGUUGGUUGAGCCUAAAGUAAUGAUUAAUAGGGAUAGUUGGGGGCACCUGUAUUGCGUUGUCAGAGGUGAAAUUCUUGGAUUUACGCAAGACAAACAGCUGCGAAAGCGUCUGCCAAGGAUGUUUUCAUUA
Molecule: ribosomal RNA, 365 nt
Filed under: uncultured eukaryote
Lineage: Eukaryota
Description: partial 18S ribosomal RNA
Rfam family: Eukaryotic small subunit ribosomal RNA
Source: RNAcentral